AUACGUAGGUGGCAAGCGUUGUCCGGAAUUAUUGGGCGUAAAGCGCGCGCAGGUGGUUCCUUAAGUCUGAUGUGAAAGCCCCCGGCUCAACCGGGGAGGGUCAUUGGAAACUGGGGAACUUGAGUGCAGAAGAGGAUAGUGGAAUUCCAAGUGUAGCGGUGAAAUGCGUAGAGAUUUGGAGGAACACCAGUGGCGAAGGCGACUGUCUGGUCUGUAACUGACACUGAGGCGCGAAAGCGUGGGGAGCAAACAGGAUUAGAUACCCUGGUAGUCCACGCCGUAAACGAUGAGUGCUAAGUGUUGGGGGGUUUCCGCCCCUCAGUGCUGCAGCUAACGCAUUAAGCACUCCGCCUGGGGAGUACGGUCGCAAGACUGGAACUCAAAUGAAUUGACGGGG
RNAcentral lists this ribosomal RNA (397 nucleotides) under uncultured bacterium. RNAcentral describes it as "partial 16S ribosomal RNA". It matches the Rfam family "Bacterial small subunit ribosomal RNA", at positions 523 to 918 of the family's 1533-position model. The record is from RNAcentral.